UACGUAGGUCCCGAGCGUCGUCCGGAUUUAUUGGGCGUAAAGCGAACGCAGGUGGUUUAUUAAGUCUGGUGUAAAAGGCAGUGGCUCAACCAUUGUAUGCAUUGGAAACUGGUAGACUUGAGUGCAGGAGAGGAGAGUGGAAUUCCAUGUGUAGCGGUGAAAUGCGUAGAUAUAUGGAGGAACACCGGUGGCGAAAGCGGCUCUCUAGCCUGUAACUGACACUGAGGCUCGAAAGCGUGGGGAGCAAACAGG
This 252-nucleotide ribosomal RNA is filed under the name uncultured bacterium. Its description in RNAcentral is "partial 16S ribosomal RNA". It matches the Rfam family "Bacterial small subunit ribosomal RNA", at positions 524 to 776 of the family's 1533-position model. The record is from RNAcentral.